This 498-nucleotide ribosomal RNA is filed under the name uncultured bacterium. RNAcentral describes it as "partial 16S ribosomal RNA". It matches the Rfam family "Bacterial small subunit ribosomal RNA", at positions 30 to 523 of the family's 1533-position model. The record is from RNAcentral.
AUUGAACGCUGGCGGCAUGCCUUACACAUGCAAGUCGAACGGUAACAGGUCUUCGGAUGCUGACGAGUGGCGAACGGGUGAGUAAUACAUCGGAACGUGCCCGAGAGUGGGGGAUAACGAGGCGAAAGCUUUGCUAAUACCGCAUACGAUCUCAGGAUGGAAGCAGGGGACCGCAAGGCCUUGCGCUCACGGAGCGGGCGAUGGCAGAUUAGGUAGUUGGUGGGAUAAAAGCUUACCAAGCCGACGAUCUGUAGCUGGUCUGAGAGGACGACCAGCCACACUGGGACUGAGACACGGCCCAGACUCCUACGGGAGGCAGCAGUGGGGAAUUUUGGACAAUGGGCGCAAGCCUGAUCCAGCCAUGCCGCGUGCAGGAUGAAGGCCUUCGGGUUGUAAACUGCUUUUGUACGGAACGAAAAGACUCUGGUUAAUACCUGGGGUCCAUGACGGUACCGUAAGAAUAAGCACCGGCUAACUACGUGCCAGCCGCCGCAGUAA